Molecule: long non-coding RNA, 484 nt
Organism: Heterocephalus glaber (naked mole-rat)
Lineage: Eukaryota; Metazoa; Chordata; Mammalia; Rodentia; Bathyergidae
Source: Ensembl
CCAGGGCCUCCUGUCAUUCUAGACAAAUACAACACGCUCUUCGGCUCACUUCGGCAGGCACAGAUGUCCCCUUAGAGGGCCCGGAUGUGUACACACCCAGGGUCAUGUGAGGGUGGCUGCCACUCAAGCUACUUCUCAGAGGCAAAGUGCCUCUUCUUGGGCUGAAACAAUAGUGGAGGUAUCAGGUAUGUGUUCCAGCACUGGAAAGCUGACAUAUGCAAGAUCUCAAAUAUGACCCCAAUCCAUCUUUUACAGAACACAAUCAAUGCAGAUUUCUACAGAAAACAUUUAGAUGUGGUGAUUGACUGCUUGAGAAGAUAGUCAAAAGAAAUAAAUCCUGCUUGGAUAGACCUCAUUCCAAGACCCUGGACUUAAUUAAAUAUGUAAAAUGUUUCCAUGUACUUCAGUACAUGGUGGGUGUGUAUUUCUGUACAACCAAGAAGUUUAUCUUAAUAGCAUGCUAGCAAAAUAAAGGUAUUCUAAC